UACGGAAGGACAGCAGUGGGGAAUAUUGCACAAUGGGCGCAAGCCUGAUGCAGCCAUGCCGCGUGUAUGAAGAAGGCCUUCGGGUUGUAAAGUACUUUCAGUCGUGAGGAAGGUGUUAAGGUUAAUAACCUUAGCAAUUGACGUUAGCGACAGAAGAAGCACCGGCUAACUCCGUGCCAGCAGCCGCGGUAAUACGGAGGGUGCGAGCGUUAAUCGGAAUUACUGGGCGUAAAGGGCACGCAGGCGGUUAAUUAAGUUGGAUGUGAAAUCCCCGGGCUUAACCUGGGAAUGGCAUUCAAGACUGGUUAGCUAGAGUCUUGUAGAGGGGGUAGAAUUCCAUGUGUAGCGGUGAAAUGCGUAGAGAUGUGGAGGAAUACCGGUGGCGAAGGCGGCCCCCUGGACAAAGGACUGACGCUCAUGUGCGAAAGCGUGGGGAGCAAACAGGGAUUAGAUACC
Molecule: ribosomal RNA, 456 nt
Filed under: uncultured bacterium
Lineage: Bacteria
Description: bacterial SSU rRNA
Rfam family: Bacterial small subunit ribosomal RNA
Source: RNAcentral